GGGUGCUAUCAUACCUGCACUAAUGCACCGGAUCCCAUCAGAAAUCCGAAGUUAAACGUGCUUGGGCGAGAGUAGUACUAAGAUGGGUGACCUGUUGGGAAGUCCUCGUGUUGCACCCA
Molecule: non-coding RNA, 119 nt
Organism: Ricinus communis (castor bean)
Lineage: Eukaryota; Viridiplantae; Streptophyta; Magnoliopsida; Malpighiales; Euphorbiaceae
Source: Rfam